AAGACUAUAGACCUGCGGAGUACCUGCGGAAGGAUCAUUAUCAAUUUACAGCGGACUUCGGUCCUGUCUGCACCCUUGUCUUUUGCGUACUAUAUGUUUCCUCGGUGGGCUUGCCUGCCGAUAGGACACUUAUAAACUCUUUUGUAAUUGCAAUCAGCGUCAGAAAACUAUAAUAGUUACAACUUUCAGCAACGGAUCUCU
Molecule: unclassified non-coding RNA, 201 nt
Filed under: soil metagenome
Description: partial contains 5.8S ribosomal RNA, internal transcribed spacer 2, and large subunit ribosomal RNA
Source: RNAcentral